This 437-nucleotide ribosomal RNA is filed under the name uncultured Oscillospiraceae bacterium. RNAcentral's name for it is "bacterial SSU rRNA". It matches the Rfam family "Bacterial small subunit ribosomal RNA", at positions 341 to 792 of the family's 1533-position model. The record is from RNAcentral. Lineage: Bacteria; Bacillati; Bacillota; Clostridia; Eubacteriales; Oscillospiraceae.
ACGGAAGGCAGCAGUGGGGAAUAUUGGGCAAUGGGCGAAAGCCUGACCCAGCGACGCCGCGUGAGGGAAGAAGGUCUUCGGAUUGUAAACCUUUGUUGUAAGGGACGAAACAAAUGACGGUACCUUACGAGGAAGCCACGGCUAACUACGUGCCAGCAGCCGCGGUAAUACGUAGGUGGCAAGCGUUAUCCGGAUUUACUGGGUGUAAAGGGUGUGUAGGCGGGCAGGCAAGUCAGAUGUGAAAACUAUGGGCUUAACUCAUAGCCUGCGUCUGAAACUGUUUGUCUUGAGGGUCGGAGAGGUAACUGGAAUUCCUGGUGUAGCGGUGAAAUGCGUAGAUAUCAGGAGGAACACCGGUGGCGAAGGCGAGUUACUGGACGAUUACUGACGCUGAGACACGAAAGUGUGGGGAGCAAACAGGAUUAGAUACCCUGGUA